RNAcentral lists this ribosomal RNA (253 nucleotides) under uncultured bacterium. RNAcentral describes it as "partial 16S ribosomal RNA". It matches the Rfam family "Bacterial small subunit ribosomal RNA", at positions 524 to 776 of the family's 1533-position model. The record is from RNAcentral.
UACAGAGGUGGCAAGCGUUGUUCGGAAUUACUGGGCGUAAAGGGCGCGUAGGCGGCCCUCUAAGUCAGACGUGAAAUCCCCCGGCUUAACCUGGGAACUGCGUCUGAUACUGGAGGGCUUGAGUAUGGGAGAGGGAUGUAGAAUUCCAGGUGUAGCGGUGAAAUGCGUAGAUAUCUGGAGGAAGACCGGUGGCGAAGGCGGCAUCCUGGACCAUUACUGACGCUGAGGCGCGAAAGCUAGGGGAGCAAACGGG